This 301-nucleotide ribosomal RNA is filed under the name uncultured bacterium. RNAcentral describes it as "partial 16S ribosomal RNA". It matches the Rfam family "Bacterial small subunit ribosomal RNA", at positions 509 to 807 of the family's 1533-position model. The record is from RNAcentral.
CAGUCGCCACGGUAAGACGGAGGGUGCUAGCGUUGUUCGGAAUCACUGGGCGUAAAGGGCGCGUAGGCGGCCUGUUAAGUCGGAUGUGAAAGCCCGGGGCUCAACCCCGGAACUGCAUCCGAGACUGGCAGGCUUGAGACCGGGAGAGGAGGGUGGAAUAUCCAGUGUAGAGGUGAAAUUCGUAGAUAUUGGAUGGAACACCGGUGGCGAAAGCGGCUCUCUGGCCCGGAUCUGACGCUGAGGCGCGAAAGCGUGGGGAGCAAACAGGAUUAGAUACCCCGGUAGUCCCUGUCUCUUAUAC